This is a long non-coding RNA of Cucurbita maxima (winter squash), 758 nucleotides long. RefSeq lists it as uncharacterized. NCBI's taxonomy places the organism in Eukaryota, Viridiplantae, Streptophyta, Magnoliopsida, Cucurbitales, Cucurbitaceae. The record is from RefSeq and is a predicted model, not a curated record. The transcript is spliced from 5 exons.
UCAAUUUUCGCCUUUUUGUUCCCGCCUACUCUAUCGUUCUUCACUUCUUCCUUCUCCGAUCCAUGGCCAAAUUCGAAUCAUGAUUUGUGAAGAUUUUAUUCGUCCUGUUGUAUUGUUUUUGUUUCUCUGAACAAGUUUUGUGAAGCUUUUCAUUCGCUUUGGUUUAUCUGUUCAAAUCGUGGUCAUCUGCAUUUUGAACCUUGGCAAAGAGAACGGAGGCAAUGUUGAGCGAGUAUCAUAUCUUCGUCAAUUCCAUUGGUGGCGGACAAUUUUGACUAUAUGUAAUGGAAAGAUCAGACGAUCGAAUAAUUAGGGAUUAAGUGCGUUGAUGUUUAGCGGAUGAACAAAAUUCUGCACGAAGCAAAUUAAUAGGUCUCACUUUUCGCUGGAAUUUGAACGUUUGAGGUUUCUGCGGGAACAGUUGCGCUUCAUGAACUGGCUGUCUGAUCCUCCACUGAUCGCAGUUUAUGUUGGAUAACUCCGAGUUUUGCUUUCCGCUAUUAUUCCUCUGCUCAACCGGAGAGGAAAGCUCUCGUCAAAUAUGAUCAGGUUUGGUCCUGCUGGGGUACUUUAAUGGAGGGGACCUUAUGAGCUAUAGGAAUCGAGCAUGCGGUGUCAGGUGUGUUGGUUGAAAUUUGGAGUCGCACGUUGUACCAAUCAGUAUGUUUUCUCAAUGGUGCUGUUUAGGUAAGCCUUCCUUGUCUCCUUUCCCUUGUCAUUAUCACGUCUUCUUUCCUUCCUAUUUAUUCGUAUAUAUA